This is a non-coding RNA of Plectropomus leopardus (leopard coralgrouper), 550 nucleotides long. NCBI's taxonomy places the organism in Eukaryota, Metazoa, Chordata, Actinopteri, Perciformes, Serranidae. The record is from RefSeq and is a predicted model, not a curated record.
UGUAGAAACCUUAAGUACAAGUAUGAACCUAAAAAAGUUUGCAUUGUAUGGGACCUUUAAAGCUUAAACAUAGCAUUUUAUACUCAGCUGCUUAAGUCAGAUGACUUUCCCUCUAAACAUUUUUCUUUCUCUCUGUCAGGUCCCAGUGUAACUCAAGUGGAAUCGCCGCCUCGCCCCACUGCCAAACAGUUCCUGGGACAUCCACGCAACCUGCAAAACCCUCUAGUGUCCAGUCUCAACCCUGAGGUCCUGACAUCCCGAGAGUCGUCAUGGAGAUAAAACAUGGACCGCAGGGCCAAAGGAAAGUUGUUCACUGUUCUGUCACCGUCACCUCUUAUUUAACCCCUUUCUUUGUAACUCAUUAUUUAAUCCGCCAUGAUAUACAUACUGUAUAUACAUAAGACAAAUAUAUUUACAGAGUUUUGCUACUGUAAGCACUGCAAGGUAUCUGUAUGAAAUGUAAAAUAAUUUAGAAACCUUUUACUUAGAGCAAUUAUUACUAUUACUGUGUAUUUAAAUAUAAUAAACAUGUGCAUUGUGUUUUAGAUAA